RNAcentral lists this ribosomal RNA (301 nucleotides) under uncultured bacterium. RNAcentral's name for it is "partial 16S ribosomal RNA". It matches the Rfam family "Bacterial small subunit ribosomal RNA", at positions 509 to 807 of the family's 1533-position model. The record is from RNAcentral.
CAGUAGCCACGGUAAUACAGAGGUCUCAAGCGUUGUUCGGAUUCAUUGGGCGUAAAGGGAGCGUAGGCGGUCGGGUAAGUUGAAUGUGAAAUCCUGGGGCUCAACCUCAGAACUGCAUUCAAUACUGCUUGGCUAGAGUACUGGAGAGGUGAGUGGAAUUCACGGUGUAGCAGUGAAAUGCGUAGAUAUCGUGAGGAAGACCAGCGGCGAAGGCGGCUCACUGGACAGUUACUGACGCUGAUGCUCGAAGGCCAGGGGAGCAAACGGGAUUAGAUACCCCGGUAGUCCCUGUCUCUUAUAC